This 419-nucleotide ribosomal RNA is filed under the name bacterium. RNAcentral describes it as "partial 16S ribosomal RNA". It matches the Rfam family "Bacterial small subunit ribosomal RNA", at positions 355 to 776 of the family's 1533-position model. The record is from RNAcentral.
UGGGGGAUAUUGCACUAUGGGCGAAAGCCUGAUGCAGCGACGCCGCGUGGGGGAUGAAGGCCUUCGGGUUGUAAACUUCUUUUGCUCUGAACAAGGGAUGCUAAUGGGUGUGUUGGGGGUAGGGGAUGAUUAGCGCGGGCUAACUACGUGCCAGCAGCCGCGGUAAUACGUAGGGCGCGAGCGUUGUCCGGAAUUAUUGGGCGUAAAGGGCUUGUAGGUGGCGGGUUGAGUCUGUCGUGGAAGCACAUGGCUUAACUGUGGGUUUGCGGUGGGUACGGGAUUGCUUGAGUACAGUAGGGGAGGCUGGAAUUCCUGGUGUAGCGGUGGAGUGCGCAGAUAUCAGGAGGAAUACCAGUGGCGACGGCGGGUCUCUGGGCUGUUACUGACACUGAGGAGCGAAAGCAUGGGGAGCGAACAGG